Molecule: ribosomal RNA, 496 nt
Filed under: uncultured bacterium
Lineage: Bacteria
Description: partial 16S ribosomal RNA
Rfam family: Bacterial small subunit ribosomal RNA
Source: RNAcentral
ACGCACGCUGGCGGCGUGCCUAAUCCAUGCAAGUAGAACGCUGAAGAGAGGAGCUUACUCUUCUUGGAUGAGUUGCGAACGGGUGAGUAACGCGUAGGUAACCUGCCUUGUAGCGGGGGAUAACUAUUGGAAACGAUAGCUAAUACCGCAUAACAAUGGAUGACACAUGUCAUUUAUUUGAAAGGGGCAAUUGCUCCACUACAAGAUGGACCUGCGUUGUAUUAGCUAGUAGGUGAGGUAAUGGCUCACCUAGGCGACGAUACAUAGCCGACCUGAGAGGGUGAUCGGCCACACUGGGACUGAGACACGGCCCAGACUCCUACGGGAGGCAGCAGUAGGGAAUCUUCGGCAAUGGGGGCAACCCUGACCGAGCAACGCCGCGUGAGUGAAGAAGGGUUUCGGAUCGUAAAGCUCUGUUGUAAGUCAAGAACGGGUGUGAGAGUGGAAAGUUCACACUGUGACGGUAGCUUACCAGAAAGGGACGGCUAACUACGUG